GACAAACCCUCUUCGACUUCUUCCUUAGAAUCACUCCACUAGUUUAUACAGUUCUAUUUGAAGCUUCACCCAGGUCGAUCAACAUGAGUGGGACUAGGGGUGAGCUUAACCUUGGACCAACCCUAGAUUGGCCCAACCUUACUAGUCCUAGUCCAAUCCUUAGGGAGACUAUGACGGUCUUUAGUCCUAAGGCCCUUGGACCUUGCAGUGUGUGGGUUGGUCAUCAGCCGUGAAAGUUUAGAGUUGAACUUUUGAACCAACCAUGUACAUAAUAUUAUAUAUAAAAUAUUAUUAUAUCUAAUAUAUUAUACAAUACAUGCUUUUAUCUAUUUUAAAUUCUAGCACGUCCUCUUUUAUUCUCUUCGUAGUUAUAUUUUUCAUGUAAAUUAGAAAGUAGAAACCUAGAGUGAAUUCGAUAAAAUAAAAUAAAAUAAAAUAAAAUAAAAUAAAAUAGAAACCCUCUUCACUUGCCUCGGCCUCGCUCACUCCCCUUGGCCUCACUCACUUUGCUCACAACUCACCUCUCUUUGCUUGCCUCACUUGCCUUGUUGCUUGUCUCUGUUGACUCACCUCGCUUCUUGCCUUUAUUCUCUCACCUAGAAUAUUCAUUUUUAUGGUCUGUUGUUUUUAGCAAGUAUAAGUUUCUAUUGUUACUUUAUCUUAUAUUUAUGUUUGAUAUGUAUUAAUGUUCAUAAUUUAGUUGUUCAAUAUCGCAUUGUUGAUGCAUAUGUAAUUUGAAAUAGUAAGUUUUUCCUUUUAAGAAAUAUAAAAAAUGAAACCAAAAAAAUAAACAAUUGGUCCCGGGUUGAUUUUGAAAUUGGAACCCAUAGGGUUAGUCUGGUCCUCAGUCCCAAGCUCAACAUGGUCAAUCCUUAGUCCUAGAAAUUGAGGACCAAUACUGUGCGGGUUGAUCCUUAGAUUAAGUGUUGGACCAAUUUAACCCGGACCAUGCUCAUUCUUAAGUGGGGCUAUCUUCAGUGAUAUCAGAGAUAAUUAUGAGACUCUUCAUACCUUUCUUGGUAGGGCAUAUAUCUCCCUUAGUUUUGCCUAUCCUUGACGUACUUUCGGAGCCACGAUGAGUCCAUGGUACAUAAGUUUUUGAUUUGUUUGGUUUGGUUAUUAUAUUACAAGAAACCCAUACGCAAGUUUGGUUUUCUCAGUUUAAACCAGAUAGAAGACAUAGUCUUCUGGAUUUUUUAGUUUAAACCAUACUCGAGUUGCACAUAUGGAGGCUAUUUGAGUAAUUGCAGGCAACUGAUGGGUGAAGACGUCUCUGGCUUGAGUGUGAAGGAUAUACAGAAUUUGGGGAACCAAUUAGAAAAUAGCUUAUCGACUAUCCGCCUUCAAAAGGAGCAGAUUAUGGCGGAUCAAAUUAAUGAGCUCCAUCGUAAGGUCUUACUUCGGCUAUAGAUCACAAUCAUUCUUUCUCCUAGUUCAACCAUCUUCAGGGAAGGGAGUUCUAGUUGUGAGGCAAACAAAUAUCAUGUAUCAUAUGCAGAUAUACUGAUUCUUUCCCCUUGAAGAAGGACCCCAUGUCAGAAUAGGAGUGUGACUCCUUUGGUGACUACAGAAUUGGCUUGAGUUGUCCCCUCCUUUAAACCUCCAACAUAGAUAAGCCCUAAACAUUUUUUACACUUUACAUUUGUCAAUAUUCAGUAAGAAGACAUCAAAUUGAAAAUCCUUUUGACAGGUUACGACUACCUCGACCUGGCGACUUCACGACUCUGGAUGAGGGAAUCCACGCACCGUACCAACACGGACAGCUUCGGUAGGCCCGGGGUGACGGGGGUAAACCCUGGGGCCCCACGGGAGGACCCACCACCCCCAUGGAAUGGGUAAGACGCCAAGCGUCUCCGCGGAGAGUCGAACCCUCUCCCUCCUAGAAUGGGUCAGUGGGCCCCCCCACGGUGGGGAAGACUUAACCAGCGGAGCCACCACGGCCGGUGAUUGAUACACAAAUAGUUUAUCACUGGUAAUUAAAAAAAAAAAAAUCACUCGGAGUCGAAAUUAAAGAUGAGCGGGUGAACCUCCUGUGAUUAUGAGGAUGGUCAUUAGGGUUGACUCAGUUGCUUUCGUUUCAACUCUAUACUUUGA
Eucalyptus grandis is the source of this 2094-nucleotide long non-coding RNA. RefSeq lists it as uncharacterized. The record is from RefSeq and is a predicted model, not a curated record. Lineage: Eukaryota; Viridiplantae; Streptophyta; Magnoliopsida; Myrtales; Myrtaceae. The transcript is spliced from 4 exons.